CCUCAAUCAUAAAUCACUCUGAGGGGAAGUGAGGCCGAUCCCUCCUCUCCACGCGGCAUCAGAUUACAGGUAGAAGACAAAGCUAUCGGACACCUCGCCACGUGUCCUGCGUUUAACACUUCUUCCAGCCGCUGAACACUUAAAUUCAGUUUACUUUCAAACAUUAGGACGCAGCGGAAUACAAUAUACAUAAUAUUAUGUAAAUCGACUCUCCAAUAUAGCGGCCGGGACUCAAAAGCAGCGUUCUAUCCUUCAUCAGUUUUUAUCAAAGCUGGAGACAAAACCAGCCGGACGGGCAGUAAGCACUUCUCGCAGUGUCAGGAUGUGAUGUCAUAUCGCUUUAAAUAACCUCGCAGGAUAUCAUUUUGUGUUACUGUGCGUCUUCUGAUGUUAUCUUCACAAAUAGGGGACAGAUUAAUGCAUUGUUUAAGCACAAUACGGUGUCCAUUUGCAUCACAAUAAGAUUCCAUUUUUUUUGACUUCUCAGCGAGCGCUCCGUGCCCCUGACUCAGGCCACGUGGCAGCCGUGCUGUUCUGCAGCCACACACAUUUUCAUGUCAUACUAACUUGCCAGUGUGCGCAAAACUGUCACACUCCCUUAGAGGCUCUGGAUGCUAUGCGUAAUUCCUUUAACACAAGGCCGUGCAGAUAUCCUUAUCAUUGUUGUAAUGGCGUGCUCAUGCCACCCUGCAUCCUGCGAACUUGCACGAGGCAGCUGGUAAUUCAUUUAAUUUAUUCAAGUCGACCCGCGGUGGAUCAGACCGCGCUGGGCUCCUGUUGUGUUGAUGGCUGGAGUACACGGACGGACACUCAGCAGCCUUCGUCCUUCAGAGGUGAUCUCAGGGCCACAGAAACAUCAUUCAGGACUUUCUAUCUGCAGCCACUUGCUCAAAUGUGAAACUCUGGAGGCUCGUGGAAAGGUAGCCAGCUCUAAAGCGGAUCCCCUGUCACUUGCAACCUAGGACAUUUGGCGCUCUGACACGCUCAUUCGAAUCCGUGUGUUGGCGCUUCAAAGCAAAUAUCUUGUUCACAUGUGGUCUGAAGC
Molecule: long non-coding RNA, 1045 nt
Organism: Astatotilapia calliptera (eastern happy)
Lineage: Eukaryota; Metazoa; Chordata; Actinopteri; Cichliformes; Cichlidae
Source: Ensembl